Frieseomelitta varia is the source of this 3599-nucleotide long non-coding RNA. RefSeq lists it as uncharacterized. NCBI's taxonomy places the organism in Eukaryota, Metazoa, Arthropoda, Insecta, Hymenoptera, Apidae. The record is from RefSeq and is a predicted model, not a curated record. The transcript has 3 exons.
GUUGCCCCUGCAGAUGCUUGCAGCUGCUUACCUGAGCCGGGUCCCCUUCUUUGGGCCCUCGGGCUCAGGCCCGUAUCGUCACUUUUCCGGCUCCCUUUUACCAUUUUCUAUCUCUCUAUGUGACACUCGCAAUUUCAACUUCGUCUUUUUUCUACGUAUUUGUUUCAGAGAGAAAAUUUGGGGGAAAAAUAAUCGAAGGCAGAAUGAUAGGUUGCGAAGGCAGGACCAAUGGUCAUUAAAUGCUUCCACAAUGGCUUAAGAAGACGAAGCCGACAAAUGAGAAGGGUCUUUCGAAGAGAACACACUGAAGAAAGAAAGAGGAAAACCUCACACUAUCUGAACGAUCCUUCUCUUAUUAUUCCUCCUUUACGACUAUUCUCUACGACUAGACAAUUUGUUGAGAAAACAUGCAGCGUAGACAAUGGGCAGUUAUUAUUGAAAUUUUUCCAUUGCCAAAUGGAACGUAAGAAUUGAUGAAGUUAGACGUCGUCUAACCAGUGUUUGUCUCAACUUGCUGCACUUUGUUCUUUUGCUGAUUUAUUUCUUUUUUUGCAGGACAAGAACAAUCGAUGAAUUUUAUGAAAAUUUGCUGGAACAUCAGGCCUCCUUCUUUCGUCCCAAGUGAUUUCUUUGGAGUCGAUGAGGGAGGAAACGAAUAGAUCGCGAUAGAAAGAUCUGGUACUGCUUCCUGCGGAAGCUUUUUUCUGAAACCGGAGACGCAUUUAUCAGUGGUGGUGGUGUUCCAGAAUGAAACCGAGGGGAUGCGAAAACAACUGCGGCAGAUGUGAACUCUUGGCACGCGCCCUUCUGUUUAACAGUGGUGCUCACGUUUCGAUCGAAACGAGAAAAUUCGAUGGAUUUCGAAGCUGAAAGUUUUAACAGUUUGUUUUCGAAAUCUUAAAAUUCCGGUUGGAGUACGCUCUUGUUUGAUAGUUCUUAUAUCUUAAAUUUUAUAGAAUCUAAUUUAUUUUUAUAUCUAUUAACCAGGGAAAAUGAGUUAACUUGUUGAUAGUUAAAUCAAUUGUAUUAUGUUUAUAUUUGAUGAUCACGUGUGGAAAGUAUUGUAAUCCAUCUUUGUCAAUUUCCUCAAUUGACUUCUCUGAUAUUUUUGAUUUAAUUUAUUAAAAAAAUGGUUGUUUUCAGUAAGUUUCUUUGUUUCAGAGCGACGCCAGUUGGAAAUAGCUAGUUUUCUAUUCUUCUAAUAUCUGAGGCUGAUGAUAAGAAUUCUCUGACAAGAAUCUGAGCCGCAUGAUCGUUACAAUUAUCCCUUUUAAAUAUAAAUAUAAUAUAAGGCAUAAUAAUAUUUGGCCAGAUGAAUAAAACGACAAUGUAUUAACAAUGAACGUAUAAAAAGCAUCAUCAUUUGUAAAGCGUCCACGCGCGCAUCGGAAGCCAACUGUAUCAAGUUACUUCCUGUGCCUGACAUUGAAACUUUAUAAUCUACAGUAGAAGAGUUAUCUUAUUCAUUCACUCUACAGAGAACUAACAAUUAGCCAAUUGCUUCCAAAGAAACCGCAAAUCGAAUCAUCACCGGAUCAAAUUAAUUAACCGCUUCGAAACCAGUUUGACCAGAUGGAUAGUGGACGGACAGAUUUCAAGUUUGCUUGGUUACGGCUCUCCUUCUGAUUUCUCUUUCGCGAUUCGACAUUAAAACAGGAAGUCGGAGGAGGAAUCGAUUUUCCCGGAAUUUCUGUCGGUCAGGUAUCGUUGCUUAUUGAAUCCGAGGAUCGAUUGGGAUUCGUGCCAAAAGGAACCUUUCGUUUUCUAUAAGGAUAAAUUACAAAUCCUUCGGCGACAAAGGGCUAGGAGGAACGUGGUUAUUCAAACAACCUUUUUUCUCUGUUUUGCGAGAAGUUUAUGGAAAAUCGUCUCGCGACACACCAUCCCAGUAUUCCCCGUCUCGAGGAGCUGUUCAUCAGAGAGGAUUAAAGUUGGAGGUACACGGCCGCCACUUUGUAUUCCAUUGGCAAAUUUAUUCGUCGUCCUCCACGUGGAUUAUUUAUCAGAGGAGACGUUGUAUCGGAUCGGAAAUCUCGUCGUUCUGGGAAAAACCAAUGGUUCGCAAUAUGUAUCCAGCAUAAGAAGUGAACGACCAGUCAUUUUCAUCACAAUCACGAACUCUACGACUCUGUUCGCGGUAGACUGGUGAAAUCAUCGUGGAUUCCGAGCUCGUUUGUGUCCCUCCUGGUUAACGAUUCACAACAAUCGCUUAGAUACGUUUUACAGUUAUUAUCACCGAUAGAUAACGACCGUUUCAUUCAGUUUCUCGACGUUGUUCGAUCGCCGUUCUCGAUCUUUCGUUCUCACGUCUGAUAUCGUCAAUCCUAAAAAUAUACGUAUGUACGAGAGAAGACAUACUGUUGCGACGUUCACCUGUCGCGUGCCAAGCUACACCUGCUUAAGUAACUUUCCUCAUUCGAGUUCUCACCAUCUGCUUCUUUUUCGAGUUUUGGUGACCGAUUGGCAGAUGCCAUGGAUUUGACGGUUUUUAAUAAUUUUAUUUCAAACCUUUUAAACACCGCCGACAAUUUUUCUGUACGAGAUCACAAGUGAAAUUUAUAUCUUGUAUAAGUUAUCAUAAAGGGACUCCACUGCAAUGCAAAAUAGGAAGUUAAAGUAACGAAAUAAAUAGAACGCGAUUUUGGCAUCGCUCGCGGCUACAGAGUUAAUUACAUAUAUAUUACGUUAUCACAUUCCCAUAGCUUUACGUUUUUUAUUGAGGAAACUUUGACAAAAAAAAAAAAAAGAUGUGGAUGAACAAUGAUUCCACAGUAUUUAUUCCGGUCUUGCACGCAGUGUAUCAUACUGUACGUACGUGUACGCGUAUGAGAAAUGCCUUGGCAUGCGAACUUGUCUAAAUUGAGCUGGGAAUUCCGUUAAAUAAGAAAUAAUUUCUUUCAAGGUUUUACUAACUUAACUCGAGCAGAAAUUCACAUGAUUCUCUUAUUAGCAACAUUUCAAUAUACAGUAAAUAUAGCACACACACACACACACACAUAUAUUUUACAUAUAUAUGUAUGCACACGUUGUUAAUUGUUAUGUAAAUGCAGAAUAGACAUACUCGUGUUUUGAAUAUCAGUGAACAUAGGAAUAAUUAUAUUUAACUUAAUCAGUAGUUACAAAAAGAUUUUCAUUCAUUAAACUUUCUGGUUUAGUUUAAAAUGUAUACGUACCUACUAUUAUUACUUUAAAAAAUAUUUUUACAUUAAUUCUCUAAAAAAGAAAAAGUAAUGAAAAGACAAUGUAAUGAAAAGAGUGCUACUUGAAAUGAAAAACGUAAGACAAUUUAUGAUACGGAGAAUGCUUAAAAAGUUUAUAAAAUGCUCAAUGUUCGAAUUCUAUUAAAUAUAAAUAAAGAAAAGAGUUCAAGCUCCAAUUUGACAGAGAUGUAACACGAAAAAUUACAAGUUCAUCCAAUUUUUAUAAAUUUAAAAUUUGCGCAAUUUAUGGACAUCGAGAUGUUAGCGCCGCGAAGCGGUGAAGCAGUGAAACUAACCUCUUUGUUGAUAUCAUAAGAUGUAAUUAAUUUCAAGUUUUUACGCGGUCAAAUUGCAUUCUGUACAUAUACAUUUCAAAAUUAACUCUUUCAAUUUACGUUC